RNAcentral lists this ribosomal RNA (666 nucleotides) under Globigerinoides sacculifer. Its description in RNAcentral is "partial 18S ribosomal RNA". It matches the Rfam family "Eukaryotic small subunit ribosomal RNA", at positions 1352 to 1613 of the family's 1831-position model. Lineage: Eukaryota; Foraminifera; Rotaliida; Globigerinidae. The record is from RNAcentral.
UCGUUCGCCAAUCGCAUUUCCAAACAACUAACAACUCAGAAUGCUGGGCAAUAGGACGUUUAAAGUGGCUCCUUACACCUUACAAAGGAAUGGCUGAUGAGAAACAACUCGAUCCGCUCAGCGUUCUAUUGGAAUGCAACGGACGUGAUUGCAAGCUUUUGUUUUGAGUUGCGGUUUUACUGAAAGACUCUACAAUCCGCAAACUUCAAUGAUCUGAAGUAGAAAACCUACAUGCUACAGUGAGAUAUUGUGGAUAAACUUAAGCGACCGCUCCAACAUUGUGUUUUUUUAAAACUGAUGAAGGUUGCGGCAAUAACAGGUCUGUGAUGCCCUUCGAUGUCCUGGGCUGCACACGUGCUACAAUGGCUAGCGCAGUGAGCAUAUUUCAACCGAAACAUCGGUUGGCUGUUCUGAUUGACCCCUUCUGGGUCUCUCUGUAACACUACCGAUGAUCCCUCCUCUGAAAAGAGAGGGUAAGCCGUUCGAAAUUCUGGUAACGAUUCCCCGUAGUUAAGCAAACUUAAACCAUAGUGGUGUCAAACGGGUCCGCUUCCAUCGGAAAAGAUUCCUCCGGAAAAAGGCUUAUGCAGGCAUUUCACGUAUGCUCCUAUAAAUUCCUGGUAGGGAUAGUCUAUUGUAACUGGUAGACUUGUCAACUAGGAAUGC